GCUGUCGUAGCUCAGUAGGUAGAGCACUACAUUGGUAAUGUAGAGGUCACGGGUUCAAAUCCCGUCGUCAGCUCCA
This 76-nucleotide transfer RNA is filed under the name Tissierellia bacterium S5-A11. RNAcentral describes it as "tRNA-Thr". It matches the Rfam family "tRNA". Rfam says of the family: Transfer RNA (tRNA) molecules are approximately 80 nucleotides in length. Their secondary structure includes four short double-helical elements and three loops (D, anti-codon, and T loops). Lineage: Bacteria; Bacillati; Bacillota; Tissierellia. RNAcentral also lists the same sequence under 1 other name. The record is from RNAcentral.